AUGGUUACUGAGCUCAGAGAGGGAAGUGAAACAGCCAAGACCAGUUUGAUCCAAUUGGGUCGAGUCGCCCCCACCCUGACGGUGCUGCCCCCCUCCAGCCAGGAGCUGCAGCAGGGGAAGGCCACGCUCACGUGUCUGGCCAACAAGGGCUUCCCCUCAGACUGGAGUCUGGCCUGGAAGGUGGACGGCAGCAGCAGCGGCAGCAGCAGCUGGGAGCAGAGCAGGAGCCCCGGGGUGCUGCAGGCGGACGGCCACUACAGGUGGAUCAGCACCCUGAGGCUCACUGCAGACCAGUGGGGGAAGGUGGGCUCUGUGACCUGUGAGGCCACCCAGGGCUCCCAGACUCCACUCUCAGAGACACUGAGCAGAGACCAGUGUUCCCAGUCCUGA
Scomber japonicus (chub mackerel) is the source of this 390-nucleotide non-coding RNA. The record is from the annotation of a RefSeq genome assembly. Lineage: Eukaryota; Metazoa; Chordata; Actinopteri; Scombriformes; Scombridae.